Molecule: ribosomal RNA, 425 nt
Filed under: uncultured bacterium
Lineage: Bacteria
Description: partial 16S ribosomal RNA
Rfam family: Bacterial small subunit ribosomal RNA
Source: RNAcentral
GUGGGGAAUCUUGCGCAAUGGGCGAAAGCCUGACGCAGCCAUGCCGCGUGGAUGAUGAAGGUCUUAGGAUUGUAAAAUCCUUUCACCGGUGAAGAUAAUGACUGUAGCCGGAGAAGAAGCCCCGGCUAACUUCGUGCCAGCAGCCGCGGUAAUACGAAGGGGGCUAGCGUUGCUCGGAAUUACUGGGCGUAAAGGGAGCGUAGGCGGACAUUUAAGUCAGGGGUGAAAUCCCGCGGCUCAACCUCGGAACUGCCUUUGAUACUGGGUGUCUUGAGUGUGAGAGAGGUGAGUGGAACUCCGAGUGUAGAGGUGAAAUUCGUAGAUAUUCGGAAGAACACCAGUGGCGAAGGCGACUCACUGGCUCAUUACUGACGCUGAGGCGCGAAAGCGUGGGUAGCAAACGGGAUUAGAAACCCUAGUAGUCC